UGAGCAAAUCGGCUUAUCGCUUUUUAAAGAGGAAAGUCCGGGCAGCACAGAGCAUCACACUUCUUAACGGGAAGGGCCUAAUUUAUUAGGUACAGAAAGUGCCACAGAAAACAAACUUCCAAUAAUUUAUUAUUGGUAAAGGUGAAAAGGUGAGGUAAGAGCUCACCGCUUUUUUGGUGACAAAAAUGGCAGGGUAAACCUUGUGAGCUGAAAGACCAAGUAAAUCGAGAAUUGAGGGNUGCUCGCCUAAUCUCGAAGGGUAGGUCGUUAGAUCCUAAUUGUGAAAUUAGGGCAAGAUAAAUGAUAGGCAGUUGAUUUGUUAUUCAGAUCAAUGUACAGGAUCCGGCUUAUGAUUUGCUCUUUUU
Molecule: RNase P RNA, 365 nt
Filed under: Crocinitomicaceae bacterium TMED16
Lineage: Bacteria; Pseudomonadati; Bacteroidota; Flavobacteriia; Flavobacteriales; Crocinitomicaceae
Description: RNase P RNA component class A
Rfam family: Bacterial RNase P class A
About the family: Ribonuclease P (RNase P) is a ubiquitous endoribonuclease, found in archaea, bacteria and eukarya as well as chloroplasts and mitochondria.
Source: RNAcentral